Molecule: long non-coding RNA, 1698 nt
Organism: Hypomesus transpacificus
Lineage: Eukaryota; Metazoa; Chordata; Actinopteri; Osmeriformes; Osmeridae
Exons: 3
Source: RefSeq, a predicted model, not a curated record
CAAUUGAGUCUGAGAUCUGAGGAUGUCCAAAAAUGAACACCGUACAUCACAAUAGGGUUGCUAUAAGAUUGUGUGUAACUGAAACUAAGUUGAUACAAAAAUAACACCUGCAAGAUAUAAUUAGAUAAGAUAGCUGUGACAUGGACAGAAUUUUCCUCCUUUUCUGUAGACUGAGAGGAUAUCAGUAUCUGCAGGUAACAUGCCAACUAACAACAUGCCUCUCUGGAAUAGAUCACUUUAUUGUUGUUGUUUAGAAUGGAAGCUCAUUAAAGAACCGGCUCAAGCUGCCAACGUUUUCAAAGAGAAUAUGCUAAGGGAACAUGCAACUGGGAAAACUCAGAAUGAAGAUGGACAUAUGGGUCUCUGAAUAGGACAGGGAACGGGAACUUCUCUCCUUCUAUAAACAGCAGCAAGAAUGGGCAUCUCCACUUAAUUGUACUCUUGCUGUAUUUUAUUUCAGGAGAUGUUGCUUUCGGAGAGGGAGUGAAGCGGUACUUUCUGUCAACAACGAUAUCCAAACUCCAGUUUGGAUUCAUUCUAGAUCUUGGAGGAAUGGGCCGAACACUGCUAUUAGAGGGUGAACCUGACCAUCUUGUUCCAGCAGCAUCAGAGACACUUAUUGAAAGCAACCUCUUCCGGGUUGCAGGAAGGAUGUUGGCCCACACCUCUCUGCAUGACGGGCACCAUGUCACAGGAUUAAGUUUUGCUGUAAUUCAUGUACUGUUCAAUGGGGACCAUGAAAUGGCCACUGUUGUUACAGAAGACCCGAUCUGCACAUCAGGAGCAUUAUAAAACUGGUAUGUAACAUAAACUAAACUUUGCCUUGCAAAAAUGAUUGUUUGGGCAAAUAUAACUGGUUUUGAUUCUAGCUUGAAAAUGGAAGAACUUACUCCGGAACAGAAGGACACUGUUUCAGAUUUCAGAUCUUUCCAUGUCUUGGGAUCUUCCGGCAGUCACCAAAACAAAUCGGAGUUGGCUACAUAACAAACUUCUACUCCAUGCAGUGAGUUCCUGCUGGUCAAGUGACAGAAAUCAUUGCUGUAGUUGUUGAAAUGAUAGAAAGUGUUGUGAAUCCUGUCUUAUGUUAACACUAGCAGAGAUGCAAAUGGUCAAAUUUUAGUGGUGAAAUUCAUGCUAUGAAUACUUAAUGAUAUUUAGUCUUUACCCAUAAAAAUGUAAUCCUUUAUCAAAAAAAUCACACAUUGAGAGAAGCUCAACAACCCACGUCUGGUUUUGUGAUUUUGCUUUUUGAUCAUCUACUUUGAAAAGGUGAUAGUCAAGAGUUCACCGCUGUUAACUUGUUAUAUUUACAGUUUUUUAAGCAUUCGAGCACUAGGCACCAGUUGCUUAAAAUUAGAAAGUGGAAUUUCCCAAUUCAUCCUAUGUCUUAAGCAGAACAGUUAUGUCAAGUGUGCAUGAAGCACUGCAUAUUCUCAAUCACAGACAAACUGGGACUGUAGACAGGACAACUAGCACUGUCUAACUUCUUAUCCAGGUAGAAUGUGAUUUGUUGUAAAAUCAAGGAAAAUCCCAGUAAAAUACACAUAUGAAUGGCGGCAUACAUUAUUUUUAAAUGUGUCUCUUAGGUCACUAUGAGGACCAUGCACCAAAUUAAACAGUUAAGAAAGUGACUGAAAGAUGUGAUUUCAUUUCAUUUUUAUUAGGAUCCCCAUUAGUGGCCCAUUUAAUGGCAGCGAA